Molecule: ribosomal RNA, 417 nt
Filed under: uncultured bacterium
Lineage: Bacteria
Description: bacterial SSU rRNA
Rfam family: Bacterial small subunit ribosomal RNA
Source: RNAcentral
UGGGGAAUAUUGGGCAAUGGACGCAAGUCUGACCCAGCAACGCCGCGUGAAGGAAGAAGGCUUUCGGGUUGUAAACUUCUUUUGUCAGGGAACAGUAGAAGAGGGUACCUGACGAAUAAGCCACGGCUAACUACGUGCCAGCAGCCGCGGUAAUACGUAGGUGGCAAGCGUUGUCCGGAUUUACUAGGUGUAAAGGGCGUGCAGCCGGGCUGGCAAGUCAGGCGUGAAAUCCCAGGGGCUCAACCCUGGAACUGCGUUUGAAACUGCUGGUCUUGAGUACCGGAGAGGUCAUCGGAAUUCCUUGUGUAGCGGUGAAACGCGUAGAUAUAAGGAAGAACACCAGUGGCGAAGGCGGAUGACUGGACGGCAACUGACGGUGAGGCGCGAAAGCGUGGGGAGCAAACAGGAUUAGAUACC